GAAAUAAGUUAGCAUCAGUUCCUGGUGCAAUUGGGAUCAUUCAGUUUUGUGGCCAUUCUGAUAAAGCUUGGUUUUAUUUUAGGCCCACUUUAAAGUUCUUGUAUCCUGGCACAAGACACGGAUGGUAAAUCUAGGGUACCCGAAGAUACACUGUGCAAAUUAACAAACUUUCCAGAUGUUUGGAGACUGUAGGCUUGUUUUCUGUGCUGUUUUUCUAUGUUCUUUGUGUGUCUGUGCUUUCCCGUUUUGUUUUAAGUAGGAAAACCCCUUGGGGAAGAGGGAUCUGUUCUUUGGCAUGGGGAACAAAACAAGUAUUAAAUUUUUUGUGAAACCUUUAAGUUGGAUUUGCCAUUUCUGUGAGAGAAAGGAGAGGCAGCUUUGUUCCCAAAAGGGAGACUGCUAGGAAGGCUGGUGUAGGGGUGCGACUCUGUGGAAGUAACUAAAAGGAGUUCUUCACAUCCCUAGUGAUUUUCAGUUAUGAAAUGGGCCACUAAUGCUCUGAAUCAGCAGUCUUCUAACCACGCCUGACUAAAUAGACCUUGUUUUUGAAAUUCACAGCAGUGUCUAGAUCCCUGCUGUCUUUUUGUCCAUCCUGCUAACACA
RNAcentral lists this long non-coding RNA (603 nucleotides) under Bos taurus (domestic cattle). RNAcentral's name for it is "long non-coding RNA NONBTAT008121". Lineage: Eukaryota; Metazoa; Chordata; Mammalia; Artiodactyla; Bovidae. The record is from RNAcentral.